RNAcentral lists this ribosomal RNA (465 nucleotides) under uncultured bacterium. RNAcentral describes it as "partial 16S ribosomal RNA". It matches the Rfam family "Bacterial small subunit ribosomal RNA", at positions 338 to 795 of the family's 1533-position model. The record is from RNAcentral.
CCUACGGGAGACAGCAGUAGGGAAUCUUCCACAAUGGGCGCAAGCCUGAUGGAGCAACACCGCGUGAGUGAAGAAGGGUUUCGGCUCGUAAAGCUCUGUUGUUGGAGAAGAACGUGCGUGAGAGUAACUGCUCACGCAGUGACGGUAUCCAACCAGAAAGUCACGGCUAACUACGUGCCAGCAGCCGCGGUAAUACGUAGGCGGCAAGCGUUAUCCGGUUUUAUUGGGCGUAAAGGGAGCGCAGGCGGUUGCUUAGGUCUGAUGUGAAAGCCUUCGGCUUAACCGAAGAAGUGCAUCGGAAACCGGGCAACUUGAGUGCAGAAGAGGACAGUGGAACUCCAUGUGUAGCGGUGGAAUGCGUAGAUAUAUGGAAGAACACCAGUGGCGAAGGCGGCUGUCUGGUCUGCAACUGACGCUGAGGCUCGAAAGCAUGGGUAGCGAACAGGAUUAGAUACCCCAGUAGUC